RNAcentral lists this long non-coding RNA (2649 nucleotides) under Oreochromis niloticus (Nile tilapia). Its description in RNAcentral is "lncRNA (ENSONIG00000031459.1)". Lineage: Eukaryota; Metazoa; Chordata; Actinopteri; Cichliformes; Cichlidae. The record is from RNAcentral.
AGCUGCUCUAUCACUUCCGCCUUAAAAUCUACGGCCACACAGCCAGAAGAAGACCUGGAGCAGAUUCUCAGAGGUGGCCUAAUGGUCCGAGGUCGGGAUCUGAGCGACUUUGAGCGCGGCGUCAUUGUUGGGGCUCGGAUGGCAGGAGUUUCAGUCACCAAGGCCGCCCAGCUUACCGGCGUCUCAAUAGGAACAGUGACAAAAGUGACAGCAGCGUACAAGACGCAGGGGAAAUCGUCGGUGAGCCGCGUGGGGAACUGUGGGCGGCAGCGCUCAUUAGGCGAGCACGACGCACGGGCACUGGUGCAGUUUGUGAAGAAGAACCGCAGCGCCACGCUGGCUCAGGUCACGGAGAGCGUGAACGCUGGGCGGAGCCACAGCGUGUCAGCCAGAACGGUCCGCCGCCAGCUGCACAGGGAGGGCUACUACAAGGAGGUUACGGUGCCCAGAGCCAGCGUCACAGGAAGCCCAGAGGAUUGUGGGAAUGGUGAAGCAGAGGGAGAGGCGGAGCAAGAAGCAGAAGGACACUCGGAUGAUGUUGCCACCACCGUUGAUCAGACAAGCUGAACCAAAUCACAAAGCUAAAAACUGACAGACUUAUCAUGUGACAGGAAGAGGAAGUGUGGCCUCAGCUUUUAGCAUGUCGAGGAACAUGAUGGCAUCUUCCUUCAAGAUUCCCAAGAAGAAACAUCCUCAUGGCUCUGACUCCAGUCCCCUAGACAUGCAGUCACCUCUGUCCCGCCUCCAGACCUCCACCCCUCGACUACAGUUUUACGGGAAUCAGUCCGGCAGAGGUGGAGCUGACAGGAUGCAUUCUGGGAAUGCUGUGGGCGCUUCGUCAGCCAGACAGAGGACGCCGUGUAAGCAGCUCUUAGGAAACUUUGAGACGCAGCAGGAACUCAAGAGCCCCAUCGGGUGUGGAGCUUCAGACGCCAAUCACAGAGCAGCAGGCAGCUGGAGCUGCCAAUCACAAGCAGGGCAGAGAGAAGUGACAUCAAGCUGUUUGUCAAACAGAUGGCGUCCUAAGAGAGCAUCUGACCGGCUGCUGCAGCCUGAGGUGGCUUUAGAGCACCUGUCUCCACCACAGAAGAAGAAAGAGCUGUCAGCUUUGGUCAAUAAAAGGAUCUCCGUGGACUCUCUGGCUGAGUUCAGAGGUGACGAGCAUCUUGGGACUUUGAGUUCUUCUACACUGGGAGACAAGAGGUGGAGGAGAGUUGAGUCUAAUGGAGACACUUCUGAGGAGAAGAGCAACACAGGAACUCCUCCUGAAUCUCCUUUGAAACAACAGACGAAGAACUCUCCUAUCUCCAGAUUGAAUCAAACUCCACCCUCAGGCCUACAAAGAUCAUCUUCUUCCAUCUCCAUGGUCUUAUCGUCGACGACGACGCCAGUAAGGAGGGUGCGACUUGCCUCCACCAGCAACCUGAAGGUCGAUGACAGGGAGAAGGAGAGAGAGAGGUGGAGGCAGUUCAAAGAGAAGACUAAGAACAACAGGUCAGCUGUCCUCCACCUCCGACUGAGGACACCCAAACCGAAGCUGAGCCAACCAACUGAGCCAAUCGUGCUGUCCAGUGAGGAGGAGGAGGACGACGGUGAGGGAAACGGAGAUGAAGCAAAGAGGACGUCACAUAGCAGCAACCAGGUUGAUGAAUCUCGUCAGGGAAACUCUGAGAAGGUGCAGGCUCCCAAACUGGUUCCUGUGACGCCAACGUCCUUCCUGCAGCUGGAGUUCGCCUCUCUUCAUGCUGGCCUCACGGCUGCAGAUGCUAACGGGCCGAUUAUGGUGAGACAGUUUGUCACAGCUUCACAUAAACCUGUAAACCAUAAACACGGACACGCUCAGUGUGACGGGGCACAGGAGUAUCAGUGCUCUGUUAUUUGUGAUCUAUAAGGUGUGGCAGCUUUACUGAGUCACUGUUGUGGGGUCUCUCCUGCCCACAGACAGGAGUGUCACUAACAGCAUGUUUACAGCUCCUCUUUCCCCUCAAACGUUUAUUUAUGCUGAUAGAUACAUUUCACAUGAUCAUAAAUUUACAACUUUUUUUCAUUGUAAAAAGUUCAAAAUGUCAUUUAUUGCAUUUUUGUGAUAAAUUUACAACUUUUAUCUAAGAGUGUCCAAGUGUUUUCCAUCAAAUUGACCUGUUUUUUUGAAAAAAUAUCCACAUUUUUUUUAAUAUCUAGAUUUCCCAUAAAUUCAUGACUAAAAUCUCAGAGAAGACCUUUGUUAUGUGAAUGUACACAAUAAAAUAUUCUUUUUAAAAAAAAAAUUGAUUUAUUUAAAUUAACAGCUAAACUUUAGGUAUUUUUACUGUGACCCCGUCUCCCAGCUCCAGAUGUGCUGAACCCUUUAACAUACUGUAAUGUUUUGCUGCUGUGAAAAUGUGACGUUUUUAUAUCGAAGGGUCUAAAUGAAGUCACGUAAUGUUACAAUAAUGAAACAUAUUUAUUGACUCUUUAAAAUCGAUACCUCGCUGAUCUACAUUCACGUUUUUAAUCUAAAAAUAAUCUAAUAAUAAUAAUCCCAGUACCUUAAACUGGUCACACUGGAGUCAGCGUCACGUGCCCAGCAGGAGCGCUCAGUCAUGUGAUCACAUGAUCUUUCUCCACAGGCAGUUGUGGUUUUCCCUUGUUUAACCUCAUGUUUCUGUA